CCUCGAACUCAGACGCAUGGCUUGCGUCUCGUUCGCGCGCGUACGUAUGGCUGUGGUCCGCUUUUAGUUUUUGGCGAAUGCUUAUAGAAGCUUCAAGUUGCGGACACUGCGGUGGGCCAGGGCUUGAUGACAUUUGUUGCCCAGCUGCUGGUGCUACCGCGACGUACUUGGAGCAACGCUUCUGCUUAUUUCCUCUGCCUGCACCUUAUAUUUGUUGUGUUUAUUGAGACCUGGCCUGUCUCUGCCUCGUUGAAGACAAAUGGACACAAGUACUGGUCGCUGUUGGUUUGUUUGGUUUGCUCAGUCUGAGCGUGGUGCCACACAAUUUUCCACCGGAUAAAAAAAAUCCACGUUGAUACAGUUGUAUAAACAGGCCUGGUGGCCUGACCCCAGUGACCAGAACUGGUAAUGCACUCCCUUACCAGAGCAGGAUUGGCCACAACCUCCUAUAUGAAUAGAACAAUCAAACCCCGGCCCUCGGUCCCCAGCAGCUGCGAAGCAACUGACCACAGCGGCGGUCAGACCUGUGACGCCGCAGAGGGUGCUAAUAAUCUCUGGAUCCGGACAGGCCACCAUUGGAAUCUGAACCUGGCAACGUUUAACGCUAGAACGUUCUCUAGUGAGGCGAGUCUAGCAGUGCUAUUGGAGGAAUUAGCGGGCAUUAAACGGGAUAUAAUAGAGCUCAGUGAGGUUGGGAGGACAAAUGAAGCAUAUACAGCGCUAAAAAGCAGGCACAUCCUGUGCCACCGGGGCUUAGCGGAGAGACGAGAACCAGGAGUUGGAUUCCUGAUUAAUAAGGAUAUAGCUGGUAACAUACAGGAAUUGUAUAGCAUUAACGAGAGGGUAGCAGGUCUUGUUGUAAAACUUAAGAAGAGGUACAAAUUGAAGGCCGUACAUGUCUAGCCGCCUACAUCCAGUGACCAGCAAGUCGAAAGCUUCUAUGAAGACGUGGAAUCGGCGAUGGAUAAAGUCAAAACAAGAUACCUUUCUCCAGCCUGCUUCUUGCCUACCCUGGCAUUGAAGUCGCCCAUCAGUAUAGUAGAGUUUGCAGAAUGGAAUAAUUUGCGGACAAUGAAUACCUUCUUCCGCAAGUGGGAUAACCGAAAGUGGACUUGGAGGAGCCCGAAUGGCGAGACUAGAAAUGAAGUAGACCUCAUACCCUGCGCUAACCCUGGCAUCAUACAAGAUGUGGACGUGCUCGGCAAGGUGCGCUACAGUGACCAUAGGAUGGUAAUAUCUCGAAUUAGCCUAGACUAAAGGAGGGAAUGGAAAAAACUGGUACAUAAGAAGCCGAUCAAUGAGUUAGCGGUAAGAGGGAAAGUAGAGGAAUUUCGGAUCAGGCUGCGGAAGAGGUAUUGGGCUUUAACUCAGGAAGAGACCCUCAGUGUUGAAGCAAUGAACGAAAAUCUUAUGGGCAUCAUUAAGGAGUGUGCAAUAGAAGUCGGUUGUAACUUCGUUAGACAGGAUACCGGUAAGUUAUCGCAGGAGAUGAAAGACCUAAUUAAGAAACCAACCCUUAUACAUAGCUUUCAUUGAUUACGAGAAAGCGUUUGAUUGAGUAAAAACCUCAGCAGUCAUUAUGGAAUCGGGGUGUAGACGAGCCUUAUGUGAAAAUACUGCAAGAUAUCUACAGCGGCUCCACAGCCACCGUAGUCCUCCAUAAAGAAAGCAACAAAAUCCCAAUAAAGAAGGGCGUCAGGCAGGGAGAUACGAACUCUCCUAUGCUAUUGACGGCGUGUCUACAGGAGGUAUUCAGAGACCUGGAUUGGGAAGAAUUGGGGAUAAGAGUUAAUGGAGAAUACCUUAGUAACUUGCGAUUCGCUGAUGAUAUUGCCUUGCUUAGUAACUCAGAGGACCAAUUGCAAUGCAUGCUCACUGACCUGGAGAGGCAAAGCAGAAUGGUGGGUCUAAAAAUUAGUCUGCAGAAAACUAAAAUAAUGUUUAACAGUCUCGGAAGAGAACAGCAGUUUACGAUAGGUAGUGAGGCACUGGAAGUGGUAAGGGGAAUACAUCUACUUAGGGCAGGUAGUGACUGCGGAUCCGGAUCAUGAGACUGAAAUAAUUUGAAGAAUAAGAAUGGGCUGGGGUGCGUUUGGCAGGCAUUCUCGGAUCAUGAACAGCAGGUUGCCAUUAUCCCUCAAGAGGAAAGUGUGAAACAGCUGUGUCUUACUAGUACUCACGUACAGGGCAGAAACCUGGAGGCUUACGAAACGGGUUCUACUUAAAUUGAAGACAGCGCAACGAGCUAUGGAAAGAAGAAGAAUGAUGGGUGUAACAUUAAGGGGAUAAGAUGAGAACAGAUUGGGUGAGGGAACAAACGCGAGUUAAUGAUAUCUUAGUUGAAAUCAAGAAAAAUGGGCAGGGCACGUAAUGAGGAGGGAAGAUAAUCGAUGGUCAUUAAGGUUUAUGGACUGGAUUCCAAGAGAGGGGAAGCGUAGCAGGGGGCGGCAGCAAGUUAGGUGGGCGGAUGAGAUUAAUAAGUUUGCAGGGACAACAUGGCCACAAUUAGGACAUGACCGGGGUAGUUGCUGUUUACGCAAGCAUUUUGCAAAUGCGGCUCGCUUUUAAGCACCCCUCCUUAUGUCUAAAAAAACAGAAAUAAACAUUCAGUAUACUUUUUCAACUUUUACUAAGCUUAUCAUAUAGCUCAGUGUUAACAUACAGUAAUCACAGGUGAGGUUACAAAAAGCAGUAAUAAUUGACAGUAAACACUGCUUGGAUGGUGAAAAACAUGGGAAUCAGGUCAUUUUAUUUUUGACAACAACCUUUUUUGGCAUAGGAGGCUCAGGAAAUGGUGAUGUAGCAACACUGUAAAGACUGAAUAAGAUAGAUGUGGAAUGCCUUGAUGACUUCUCUUUCUGUUUUCUUUAUUUUGUCUUCGAAAGGAAUUUAUUCUGUUCAAGAUAAGGGAGGCAGCUUUUGCAUCUGCAACAGAACAUCGGUGGAUGUUGUGUGAAGCACUUUUUCUUUGCUUUUUCACUACCUGAGCAAGGUAACUUUCUUUGUGCUUCAUCGCGCGAUUUCUACAGUCAACUUCCAUUAAUUCUACCCUGACGAGACUGACGGGUCGAAUUAAGAUGCAAAAACCUGCUGAAACACCGUUGAUUCAUUUGGCAGUAUGUGCUUGCGCAAUUUGCCUCUGAAACGAACAUGCAUCAACUUUCUAUUUGUCCAAAGUAUAAAACUAAAGUAGAAAUGACAACUCCAAACCAAAGUGGAAACCUACGCAUACCUGAUUUUUUAGUAUGCCAGCCAACUUUCUAAAGUCAGCUUCGCUGUAUUACAGCCAUGAUAAGCGGUAAAGCAUAUACUGAAAAGAUUUCGCGCCAAAGAACAACACACACAAGAAAGACGACGACACCAUGGGCGCCUGUGGUGUCGUCUUUCAUGUGUGUGUUGAUUUUUGGCGCAAAAUCAUUUCAGUAUGCAAGAGCACCAACUAGCCCAGCAGUUAACUCUUCUAACGUGAAGCAUAUGAAUGCUACAAACAUGGUUUUAGUUUCGCACUUGAUUGUACAGCUAGGCAAUUUUCGGCUCAAUGUCCUUGGAAAACAAAAACUGUUCGUUAGAAUCAGAUACGUACUACAAUCAGACAUUGUCAGCUACCGUUACAGCUUAAAAAUCUUUCUCAGCUGGGUCAAAAAUAAGCAUUUCAGGCAGGAGAUAGCGUUUGUAUAACACAUUCACUGUCCCCUAAGCUCUGCUCAGGCAGACGUUGCCACUAAAAGGGGUCGUUAUUGGGGUCUGGUCAAGUUCGCAUUAUAUGGCGAAUGCCAGUUUUAGGAUCAAAAUACUGAAUGUUUAGGCCCAUAGAAAUGCAUGGGCACCGGCCAGGACCGAAUUAACUGAAAAAUGAAAUUAACGAGAGUCUGAUUAUUGGAAGUUUACUGUACACCCUUUUCUGUUCUACAAGGACUUGUCAUUUUAAUAUGUAGUUUUCUUCUAUCAGUGUGGCAAUGGUGGUAAAUUUAGCAUUUGAAAUCAUCCAUCGUUCCAAGGACAAGUUGCAAAGUAGGGGCACAUUUUGAGACUUGAAACAUUUGCACAUAUAAAGGCAGGACACAUUAACAGCUGUCCACUUAACAUAAGUUGGCUGUAUUAUCUGCAUAGUAUGUGGUUGCUUUUUUGGAAUGUGGUCAUUCUGUAAAAGAAAGUUUUAUUUGUUUCAAAUAAAUUGCUGAACUAUU
Dermacentor albipictus is the source of this 4187-nucleotide non-coding RNA. The record is from RefSeq and is a predicted model, not a curated record. Lineage: Eukaryota; Metazoa; Arthropoda; Arachnida; Ixodida; Ixodidae.